Molecule: long non-coding RNA, 1700 nt
Organism: Cuculus canorus (common cuckoo)
Lineage: Eukaryota; Metazoa; Chordata; Aves; Cuculiformes; Cuculidae
Exons: 4
Source: RefSeq, a predicted model, not a curated record
UGGUGAUUUGGAAGUGCCACAGUGCCGAGAUUUCUGGGGUGUACGUAUCAGGUGAUGGCAAACGCGUCAGUAAGGAUUGUAGCCAUCGCAGUUCGAUGGGAUGAUUCUAUGUACUCUGACCUGGAAUGACACCCUUGAAAUUGGAGGGUGGAGAGGAGGAAAAGAUAAAAAUGUGGUCUGAUGUACUAAGUGUGGCAAUAUUUAGAAAUUGGUUUGGCAGAGCUUAAGAGGGACUUUUUGGUUGUUUAUUUGUAACAGGGUUUUGAUUUGGUCGGUGCAUUGACCAGGAGGUGGUGCUGUUAGGACGGAAUCCCGACUAAUUAAUCUGCCUAUCCACAGAAUAUUGCUGAAAUACGUCAGGGCUUCAACAACAGGUGCUUUGCUGUUGCCCUUUUCCUCACUUUGUUGCUGCUGUUGGUAUUUUGGGAAUAUGGUUCCCUUUUAACUUCGUGCUCGAGUGAAAAAUGCUACUUCUCAGAAUUUUUGCUUAUUUAUAUGAUUUUUCCAUCACGGCUGAAACAAUACAGAAUCGUAGAAUUGUGAAGGUUGGAAAAGACCUCUAAGAUCAUCAAGUCCCACCAUCAGCCCAACACCACCGUGCCUACCAAGCCAUUUUGUAUGAAACGGAUCCUGUGCUGCACAAACCUCGGCAUCGUGCUGGCUGCUGCUCUGGUUGGUGAAAGACAAUGACACAGUCUGCCUUUGGCUCUCCAGCAGCAUCUCUGCCUCACAUAAUAAUAGCAUGCAAAGGGAGUGAAGAAUGGAAGGCUGCAUGCCAUGGAAGCAGAGGAGUAACAGCCUUUUAGGAUGUUUCCAGGAAGGAAAAUAACAAUAAAAUGCUCCUGUGAGGGAACUGUUGGCUUGGAACGUGUUUCCAGCAUGCUGGGAUUCUGAAUAAGCAGCCAGGGAGUGUCCUCCUGUGCACGUGGCUGUGGCAGAAAAUGACUACAGGGAACUGGACUGAUGAGAGACACAAGCUACGUAAUUUGCAGUUUCUGGGCAACAGUCUGGCUUAUAGAUCUUCUCAGCUUUGAUAUUUCAUGUGGACAUCAGAGGAUCCAAAAUCUUCUGAGAAGUCAUAUGUUGGCUGAACGAACUAAAACAUUCUUACACUUGGUUGACUUAAACUCGGAGUUAAAACCAAAGGAAACUUCUGCUGAUUAAAACCAAAUCAAUCCACAGCGUGGAGUAUUGAGCAGCAGUGCAUCCACUGGAGCUCUGCUGUUGCUGCCUCCCUAGCGCAAUGCUCAAUAUUUGGUUUGCUGAGCUCAAUGGAACACGUCACUGGGCCAGCCUGCUUGCCAGGUACUUGUCUACCUGAGGGCUCCAGGUCACUUCUCUGCCACGCAUAAACACGCAGCAAAGCCUCUGCUGCUGGGGUGCUGCACCCCUCAGAAUGAUUUUCCCAGAGGUUUUUGUAAGAACAGAAACAUGUUUAAAUGGGGCAGAUGCUUCAGAAGCCCAGGCUACAUCGUAUGCUAUAUUGGAGCAGCACCCCACAAACUGUUCCAGCAACAAGAGUAAAGAACAAGAAACUGCAGCUACUAGGGAGGAGUGUGUGGUUGCAUCUAGUCGCUCUUCUUGAGCUGUUUGAAGGCUGAGCUUAAUGAAUAUCAGGUUGUUUAUAUUAAUGGCUGAAUUCAAACAUAAAUUCUACUUUUGCCAACCCCAAACCAUUUUUAAAAGGAACCCGUGAGGGU